GGAGGGGGAUAACGGUUGGAAACGGCCGCUAAUACCCCAUAUGCCGAGAGGUGAAAUGAAUUUCGCCUGGGGAUGGGCCCGCGUCUGAUUAGCUAGUUGGUGGGGUAAGAGCCUACCAAGGCGACGAUCAGUAGCAGGUCUGAGAGGAUGAUCAGCCACACUGGGACUGAGACACGGCCCAGACUCCUACGGGAGGCAGCAGUGGGGAAUUUUCCACAAUGGGCGAAAGCCUGACGGAGCAACGCCGCGUGAGGGAUGAAGGCCUCUGGGCUGUAAACCUCUUUUCUCAAGGAAGAAGACCUGACGGUACUUGAGGAAUAAGCCACGGCUAAUUCCGUGCCAGCAGCCGCGGUAAUACGGGAGUGGCAAGCGUUAUCCGGAAUUAUUGGGCGUAAAGCGUCCGCAGGUGGCCCUGUAAGUCUGUCGUUAAAGCGUGGAGCUUAACUCCAUUUAAGCGACGGAAACUACAGGGCUAGAGUGUGGUAGGGGCAGAGGGAAUUCCCGGUGUAGCGGUGAAAUGCGUAGAUAUCGGGAAGAACACCAGUGGCGAAGGCGCUCUGCUGGGCCAUCACUGACACUCAUGGACGAAAGCCAGGGGAGCGAAAGGGAUUAGAUACCCCUGUAGUCCUGGCCGUAAACGAUGAACACUAGGUGUCGGGGGAAUCGACCCCCUCGGUGUCGUAGCCAACGCGUUAAGUGUUCCGCCUGGGGAGUACGCACGCAAGUGUGAAACUCAAAGGAAUUGACGGGGGCCCGCACAAGCGGUGGAGUAUGUGGUUUAAUUCGAUGCAGCGCGAAGAACCUUACCAGGGUUUGACAUCCUGCGAAUCCCUUGGAAACGAGGGAGUGCCUUCGGGAGCGCAGAGACAGGUGGUGCAUGGCUGUCGUCAGCUCGUGUCGUGGGAUGUUGGGUUAAGUCCCGCAACGAGCGCAACCCACGUCGUUAGUUGCCAGCAUUCAGUUGGGCACUCUAGCGAGACUGCCGGUGAUAAACCGGAGGAAGGUGUGGAUGACGUCAAGUCAUCAUGCCCCUUACAUCCUGGGCUACACACGUACUACAAUGCUACUGACAAAGGGCAGCAAGCUCGCGAGAGUUAGCAAAUCCCAUAAACCGUGGCUCAGUUCAGAUCGUAGGCUGCAACUCGCCUACGUGAAGGAGGAAUCGCUAGUAAUCGCAGGUCAGCAUACUGUGGUGAACACGUUCCCGGGCCUUGUACACACCGCCCGUCACACCAUGGAAGUUGGCCACGCCCGAAGUCGUUACUCCAACCCUUGUGGAGGAGGACGCCGAAGGUGAGGCUGAUGACUGGGGUGAAGUCGUAACAAGGUA
Molecule: ribosomal RNA, 1330 nt
Filed under: metagenome
Description: bacterial SSU rRNA
Rfam family: Bacterial small subunit ribosomal RNA
Source: RNAcentral